GGCGGUGUAGCUCAGCUGGCUAGAGCAUUCGGUUCAUACCCGAAAGGUCGGUGGUUCGAUCCCACUCGCCGCUACCA
This 77-nucleotide transfer RNA is filed under the name Mogibacterium timidum. Its description in RNAcentral is "tRNA-Met(cat)". It matches the Rfam family "tRNA". Rfam says of the family: Transfer RNA (tRNA) molecules are approximately 80 nucleotides in length. Their secondary structure includes four short double-helical elements and three loops (D, anti-codon, and T loops). The record is from RNAcentral. RNAcentral also lists the same sequence under 5 other names. Lineage: Bacteria; Bacillati; Bacillota; Clostridia; Peptostreptococcales; Anaerovoracaceae.